AGCUAGGGACGACCCUGCCAAAGCUCAAGGAUUAGCCGGGACGACCCGG
This 49-nucleotide non-coding RNA is filed under the name Vibrio hippocampi. Its description in RNAcentral is "mini-ykkC". It matches the Rfam family "Guanidine-II riboswitch aptamer (mini-ykkC)". Rfam says of the family: Simpler in structure and has fewer highly conserved nucleotide positions than the ykkC-yxkD leader. Despite this each of its two stem-loop structures directly bind free guanidine. The record is from RNAcentral. Lineage: Bacteria; Pseudomonadati; Pseudomonadota; Gammaproteobacteria; Vibrionales; Vibrionaceae.